AAGUGUCAGCUCAAACUGGGGACUUUUGGAAACGUCAUAACUUGUACGCGGCAUUAUUACGACGCAUGUCCACGAUGUAGUUCUCAAAAGUUUUACUGCAUCGUCGAAUAUAUUGAGGGAACCAGAAUGUGCGUGACGAGCAUGGAAAUAUAUUAUUGUCUUCGUAACGUGCUCGUUUGGACAAAAGGCAGCACACAUUCAUAUAUGGUUGCGAUCACGCAUAUGUCAACUCCUUUCUUCAACAUCAUUAUUUACGAGUAAGAGACGGGAGAGAACUUUAUGGUAAGCAUGGGAAGUGUGGUGUUUGUUGAUAAUUUUCACAGCUGAGGAAAGUUGGCCCAACGGACGAAGAAGUUGUCAUUUGUUGUGUAGAGCCUUUGCAUUAUUAAUGAUUCUUUAGUCGCAUGAUCAGUUCGGGCAGUUGAAGAGCGGCAACUUAACGAAGAGGGCAAACUCGGCGAUCUUCGAAGUCUUUCACGAUUUAAUUUCUCCGCUUCUUUAACUUGGAGAAUAUGUGAAAGAUGGAAUGCUUACAUUGAGGAGAAAAAAAUUGUCAAUCAUGAAUGGCUUCAGGUGGAUUUUUUGUACGAUAGACGCAAUGAAAACAAUCUAAAACUGAUAGCAUGACACAUCUUGAUAUGAAUUAGUAAGUACAAAGAUGUAAAAAUGAAGUAUUAAUAUUUAUUUUUAGGUUU
Long non-coding RNA from Harpegnathos saltator (Jerdon's jumping ant), 695 nucleotides. RefSeq lists it as uncharacterized. The transcript is spliced from 3 exons. Lineage: Eukaryota; Metazoa; Arthropoda; Insecta; Hymenoptera; Formicidae. The record is from RefSeq and is a predicted model, not a curated record.